CCUACGGGAGACAGCAGUGGGGGAUAUUGCACAAUGGGGGGAACCCUGAUGCAGCGACGCCGCGUGGGUGAAGAAGCGCCUCGGCGCGUAAAGCCCCGUUAGCAGGGAAGAAAAUGACGGUACCUGAAGAAGAAGCCCCGGCUAACUACGUGCCAGCAGCCGCGGUAAUACGGAGGGGGCAAGCGUUAUCCGGAUUUACGGGGGGUAAAGGGGGCGCAGACGGGGUUGCAAGCCCGGAGUGAAAGCCCGGGGCCCAACCCCGGGACUGCUCUUGGAACUGCGUGGCUGGGGUGCAGGAGGGGCAGGCGGAAGUCCUGGUGUAGCGGUGAAAUGCGUAGAUAUCAGGAGGAACACCGGUGGCGAAGGCGGCCUGCUGGACUGCAACUGACGUUGAGGCCCGAAAGCGUGGGGAGCGAACAGGAUUAGAUACCCUGGUAGUC
This 440-nucleotide ribosomal RNA is filed under the name uncultured bacterium. RNAcentral's name for it is "partial 16S ribosomal RNA". It matches the Rfam family "Bacterial small subunit ribosomal RNA", at positions 338 to 795 of the family's 1533-position model. The record is from RNAcentral.